GCUGGGCGUGGUGGCUCAUGCCUGUAAUCCCAGAACUUUGGGAGGCCGAGGCAGGUGGAUCACCUGAGGUCAGGAGUUCGAGACCAGCCUGGCCAACAUGGUGAAACCCUGUCUCUA
RNAcentral lists this non-coding RNA (117 nucleotides) under Nomascus leucogenys (northern white-cheeked gibbon). Lineage: Eukaryota; Metazoa; Chordata; Mammalia; Primates; Hylobatidae. The record is from Rfam by way of RNAcentral.